GGAUAUGAGGGAUUCCUGUCACCCCAUUAAUUGCCAGAGUUGACUGAGGCUUCUUAGACUGAAUAGGUCAGUGUCCCUACCUCCCUCACUGUUCCAUAUGUGUCCGCUCCAGGAAGCUGUGUGCUCAGUGGAAGAGGAUGGCCUUCUGGGAAUAGAGACAGUUCUUCAGAGAGGGUAUAAGAGUAGGUGCGCUCCCCUGCUUGAAUCCCCAAACAAGUGUGCUCCAAGGUACAUUUGUAGAGAACAUUGGGUAGUCUAGCUUCUAAGACUCCAGACACACCCAAAAGAGGUGCUGCACAUAACAGUCUCUGCCUUUCUUU
This 320-nucleotide small nuclear RNA is filed under the name Sorex araneus (European shrew). RNAcentral describes it as "7SK RNA (ENSSARG00000018335.1)". It matches the Rfam family "7SK RNA". Rfam says of the family: 7SK was discovered as an abundant small nuclear RNA in the mid-70s but a possible function has only recently been suggested. Two independent studies have found that 7SK RNA binds the CDK9/cyclin T complex (known as elongation factor P-TEFb). P-TEFb activates transcription by phosphorylating the C-terminal domain of RNA polymerase II. Lineage: Eukaryota; Metazoa; Chordata; Mammalia; Eulipotyphla; Soricidae. The record is from RNAcentral.